AUUGGUGGGGGUAGAGCACUGAAUGUGCGCGGGGGCCACAAAGCCUACCAAACGCUAUCAAACUUCGAAUACCAUACAAUGCAGACCAUGGGAGUCAGUCCGCGAGAGAUAAGUUCCGCGGGCAAAAGGGGAACACCCCAGAUCAACCGCUAAGGUCCCCAAGUUCACGUUAAGUGGAGAAGGAUGUGGAAUUGCACAGACAACCAGGAUGUUGGCUCAGAAGCAGCCACACAUUUAAAGAGUGCGUAAUAGCUCACUGGUCGAGUGAUUGUGCGCCGAAGAUGUCCGGGGCUAAACGUGACACCGAAGCGAUGGGUGCAUCUGAAAGGAUGCGCGGUAGAGGAGCAAUGUGCAGAGGCAGAAGCCGUAUCGAGAGGCACGGUGGACACUGCACAAGAGAGAAUGCCGGUAUGAGUAGCGAGAGGCAUGCGAGAAACAUGCCCGUCGAAAGCCCAAGGUUUCCUGGGGAAGGUUCAUCCGCCCAGGGUAAGUCGGGGCCUAAGCCGAGGACGGAAGUCGUAGGCGAUGGACAGCAGGUGUAGAUUCCUGCACUACCGAUGGAAUGAAGCAGUGACACAGAAGGAUAACUCGAGCAGGGUGAUGGUCAACCCUGUGCAAGCAUCAAGGUUGGGUUGUAGUGAAGUACGCAAUCCUAUAAGCUGAGAUGUGAUGCGGACCGAAAUUUCAGUAGGGAAGCGAGUGAGUUCACGCUGGCGAGAAAAGCUGCUAGUAUAUCCAAAGGUACCCGUACCGGAAACCGACGCAGGUGGGCGAGGAGAGAAUCCUGAGACGAACGGGAGAACCCUUGUUAAGGAACUCGGCAAAAUGACCCCGUAACUUCGGGAUAAGGGGUGCCUGCGAGAGCAGGCCGCAGAGAAUAGUCACAAGCGACUGUUUAGCAAAAACACAGGUAUCUGCGAAAGCGAGAGCUGACGUAUAGGUGCUGACACCUGCCCGGUGCUGGAAGGUUAAGGGAACAUGUUAGAGCAAUCGAAGCAUCGAACCGAAGCCCCAGUAAACGGCGGCCGUAACUAUAACGGUCCUAAGGUAGCGAAAUUCCUUGUCGGGUAAGUUCCGACCCGCACGAAUGGUGUAACGACUUGUGAGCUGUCUCAACAGGGGGCCCGGUGAAAUUGAAGUAUGGGUGAAGAUGCCCAUUACCCGCGACUGGACGGAAAGACCCCGUAGAGCUUUACUGCAGCCUGAUAUUGAGUUUCGGUAACUGAUGCACAGGAUAGGUGGGAGUCUGAGAGACAUGGGUUUCGGCUCAUGUGGAGACGGUGUUGGGAUACCACUCUUCGGUUACUGAAAUUCUAACAUAGCUCUGUGAAACCAGAGGAUGGACAGUGUCAGGUGGACAGUUUGACUGGGGCGGUCGCCUCCGAAAGAGUAACGGAGGCGCCCAAAGGUACCCUCAGAAUGGAUGGAAACCAUUCGAAGAGCGCAAAGGCAGAAGGGUGCCUGACUGCGAGAUUGACAAAUCGAGCAGAGACGAAAGUCGGGCUUAGUGAUCCGGCGGUAUUGAGUGGAAAAGCCGUCGCUUAACGGAUAAAAGCUACCUCGGGGAUAACAGGCUGAUCUCCCCCAAGAGUCCACAUCGACGGGGAGGUUUGGCACCUCGAUGUCGGCUCAUCGCAUCCUGGGGCUGUAUUCGGUCCCAAGGGUUUGGCUGUUCGCCAAUUAAAGCGGCACGCGAGCUGGGUUCAGAACGUCGUGAGACAGUUCGGUCCCUAUCCAUCGUGGGCGUAGGAGUCAUGAGAGGAGCUGUUCCUAGUACGAGAGGACCGGAAUGGACGCACCACUGGUGCAACUGUUGUCGUGCCAACGGCAUAGCAGGGAAGCGAAGUGCGGAUGGGAUAAACGCUGAAGGCAUCUAAGCGUGAAGCCCACCUCAAGAAUAAGACUCCACAAUAGACCCCUGGAGGACUACCAGGUAGAUAGGUCAUCGGUGGAAGCGCUGUAAGGCGUGU
This 1970-nucleotide ribosomal RNA is filed under the name human gut metagenome. RNAcentral describes it as "bacterial LSU rRNA". It matches the Rfam family "Bacterial large subunit ribosomal RNA", at positions 892 to 2888 of the family's 2925-position model. The record is from RNAcentral.